GUACAGUGGAAUAAUCCGGAUUUAUUUAUGAUAAGCUAAGGACAAAAUUAUUUUGGGAUACAAAGUCGGGAUUCUUGACCUUCGAAUUUAUUUUGAGAUAUAAGUUGUGCAUGAAUUUAUUGGUAUGGAACAAUUAGGAAAAUUUGGGACCAAAAGUGAAAAAUUGGAAGAAGAAAAUCAUCCACAACUUCCAUGGUUGGCCCACACAAUUUUGUGUCAUCUUUUAAUUGGGACAACACAUUAAUGUGGGCCAAGGGAUAUUGUACACUCUUUAUAUUAUAUAAAAGAUGACUUCUAGUCAUUAUUCUUCAUUCACCACACUUGGAAAAAAAAGGGGCAAAGCUGAAAACCUCCAAGGAGGCUCACGGCCAGCAGCAACAAAGAUCAACUUCCAUUUCUUGUCCUCCAAAAAUUAUUUUGAUGAUGUAAACCCACUAUAUUGAGGUCCCUAAGUAGCGUGGAAGCAUCGUUGGAGCGAUCAACCCAUUAUUUUCAUCUUUUGGAAACCCUAGGCUAUUGGAAAGUUGAAGAAGGAAGACCUUGGGCAGCCCGAAUCAUAGGUUGGAUUUAGCUUGAGUUUGGAUCGUAUUGGAGAGCGUUUGAGGUACAGACGCACAGCCUGGUGAUCCACCUGUUUAGGACACCCUUUCUGCUAUUCGGAGUGCUCCUCUCUUUCCGGAGCUUAUACUUUUGGUAUAUAUAUUUAUUAGUGCAUUUGUAGAUAUUCGUUCAUGGGUACGGCGGGGCCCUGUCCCGUCAUAUGAUUCUGUCGGUCUGUUUAGAGGUCUGUGGACAUGUUUGUGGGUUAGGGUCUUUCUGUAUGAAUGUAUGUACAUGUCGUUUGGGCGAUCCCAUACGCCGAGGCGGCCGGUCCGCAUAUGUUGUUUGGGCGACCCUAUACGCCGAGGCGGCCGGUCCGCAUAUGUUUAUAUAUUGCUUGGUUAGCCCUGUGUGGCUUUCGUUGGUAUUUUCUGCGUGCAGGGUAUAUUGGAUAGUCCGUAAAACAAAGGAAACUCUGCCGAAAUUUUUCUGGAAAUUACCUAAAUUUGAA
Lycium barbarum (goji berry) is the source of this 1051-nucleotide long non-coding RNA. RefSeq lists it as uncharacterized. The transcript has 3 exons. The record is from RefSeq and is a predicted model, not a curated record. NCBI's taxonomy places the organism in Eukaryota, Viridiplantae, Streptophyta, Magnoliopsida, Solanales, Solanaceae.